GGUGCGCGCUCCCGCGAGGGGGUGCAUCUGACGCCGGGGGUGCUGAAUUGGGUACAACAGGUGUUCCAUAUCUUUCAGCUUGUCAACAAAUACACGUGUACCACUGGUCCGUGGUCCAUUUUUCCAGUACCAUUUAGACACCCGGGGGUUGCCACAUAAGAACGCGAACACAGUGUUCUACCACCAUGGAAGUAAGCAAACAAACUGGAUCAACGCCUCAGCAUCCUUUUAAAAAGCUGCAUGACCAGAGAGUUGGCUCAUUUUCUUCUGAACAGAUCCUCUGCCUCUUGGACCACUAGGACCUGUACUAUCUUCUCUUCUUUCUAGCUCAUCCUCUCCGCCUUCUGCCUCUCGUAUCAGCGGCACCUGACCAGCCCUCACUGGCUUCACCUGACACUGGUGAGGGCACUUCAUAACUGAGAUCUACAUCAGGCUGCAACAAGGAAGAACAGAAGGACUCGUUGUCGCUUGCUAUUGUCAAAGUUUAAUGUCUUGCACUCGUUCCUGUAGGUUCAGUGUCUGGGGAGAUAAUGCUCUCCAAUGUUUUGAAUUUAGAAUGCAGUACCGAUUUUAAACACUUGGUGUUCCGGCUACAUAUUGCUCCUUUAACUAGCAAGAUUAAAUGACUAGAAUGAUUAUACUGCAUAUCGUUUUACAGACAACGAAGAGAAGCUAUCAAUCUUGAAUGGCAUAGAAGAGCAAGGCUUAGGGUAGUGGGGAGAGGGGACAUGAGCAUAUCACGACAGGUUCAUCCAAACCAGUGCUAAGACAUCCUGGACAACCUGAUCCACACAGUCUAUCUCUGUAUUGACACCAAAAAGUAUGUGGACGAUUUUUUGUGCUAAGGCCUGUGAGACACGGGCCCCCAAUUAAAAAAGAAUGACCAAUUAUCCUUCCUGCAGUGACACAAAUGUCAUUCUCCAGGAGCUCCUAACUUGUUGAUGGAGUUAGGUGCUCCCUCUCCCCCUCGAAAGAAAGCAGUCUUCGUUAAGAGGAGAAACUGUCAAAUAACAGAGAAACACAUUCAAAGACAAAUCUAGUGUGAAAAAUGUCUGGAGGGCUUACAUCCCAAUGGACAGCACAUGGCAUUUAUGCCAACAGCAUUAUACAAAUAGUACAUUUUGACCUGUGAUAAAGUUACACUACAUCAUUUUCACAAAAAAACAACUGUAAGCGAUAUCUAUGAUGUUCUAAAGAUGAUUAAGUGAAAGUCACCUCAACCAAAAUAUCAGUCAAUGCUCUACAGGUACAUUCAAUUUCACAGCUGUUCAGGCCUAACAUGAUACAUUCACGGCCCCUAAUUUCAUUGACGGGCAACUGGCAAUGACCAAAGUCCGCCAUGCAUGAACUAAAGCGAAUUUAAUAACUUAGCAAAGUCAUUUAGCUAAUUUAAUACCAUGAGCAAGAUCCUAAGUGUAAACAUGGGUGGGUCAGCGCAAUGCCCCCACAUGCUUUAUUUCAUGCGCAAUGGACUUUUCUCCUUGCCUGUCAAUCAAAUUAGGGCCCCACAUCUAAUAGGGUUUUUCCCCAAUCAAUCUGCAAGUUAGGGGCCUUGCCCACUCCACCCUCUGUCUUUUGUAGAAUGAAGUGACCAGCUUCCGUCCAUUUUCAAUGAGGUGACAAUAUACAGUGACAAGAGACAAAUGACCGUUGCAUCACCAACUGGGCAGAAAUAGGCUAGAGGUCUAGUUUAUGCAAAUACAGAAUGACGUGACACGGUGACCACCAAUGGGAGUGAAGGCACCGUGACACGUUGUUGAAACAAAUGAGCAAUCGUGUUUAGCCUACUUGUUUAGUUCUGUAACCUGGUAACCACGAGCUGGGAGAGCCCAUUUGUCUUCCUUCUGUGUCACUUGUGUGGCCACAAGGUUAGGGUGAUUGUGAGGGGCUCCAUAUUUUGCUUGUCUGGAAGGGCUGCCUGUGUGAAAAGAUGGGCUGCUCUCUCUGGGUCCAGUCCCAUAACCCAAGCUUUUAAAAAGAGAAGAUUAUAUUAGCAAACAGUUACUGAAACAAUAGUUUACAAAUCUAAAUUCAAUCACCUUGUUCCAUCCAAACAUCCAUGGAAUUUUGAUUAUCCAUUAAAUGUUCGGCAUCUGAACAACAGUUAUGGUCAGACUGAUUUUGAAGGGUCCUCAUGUCUUUCAAUGAAAAAGUGUGGAGCAACUCGAAGAUACUGGAAUAAAUUAAUUAACAUUAAUAGGAGCAAAGGCAAAAAAACAGCAUGUUUCAAACAUUUAGCUGAAAAAAAAAACAAUUGAAAACUAAGGCUCUCUGAAUUUAGGCUGAUGAAAAGAUGAAUGAGGUUUCAUGAACUUGGUUGCGUUUACAGAAUGCAAUACGAUCCCAUAUUAUUUGCUCUACCAUGCUUUAUAAUGAAGCUUUAAUAAUAGGCACAUUUUUUAUCUAGUAUCUUUAUCUCCAGGAAGUAGCCUACCACUGAGUGAGUUGGAGGACGAAUCGGUGUCCCAUAAGAGACGUUCAGCCCAGCACUACAUGUUCAAAAACAUGUUGUGUUUCGCCUGGUCUGGCAGGUAACAGAAUUAUCCUUAGUUGGUUUUAGAUAAAGAAAUUCGUUUUGGAUCCACAGGCUUUGUCAUCAGUGUUGCUUAUAUCAAAUAUGGGACCCGGCACUUGCAAUGGUGUAGAAGAAUGGAGACAAUAUGCAUUAAUAAAGAAACAGUUUUUAUUGAA
Clupea harengus (Atlantic herring) is the source of this 2691-nucleotide long non-coding RNA. RefSeq lists it as uncharacterized. The transcript has 2 exons. NCBI's taxonomy places the organism in Eukaryota, Metazoa, Chordata, Actinopteri, Clupeiformes, Clupeidae. The record is from RefSeq and is a predicted model, not a curated record.